CCUACGGGUGGCAGCAGUGAGGAAUAUUGGUCAAUGGUCGGGAGACUGAACCAGCCAAGCCGCGUGAGGGAUGAAGGUACAGAGUAUCGUAAACCUCUUUUGUCAGGGAACAAAGGCGGGGACGUGUCCCCGGAUGAGUGUACCUGAAGAAAAAGCAUCGGCUAACUCCGUGCCAGCAGCCGCGGUAAUACGGGGGAUGCGAGCGUUAUCCGGAUUUAUUGGGUUUAAAGGGUGCGCAGGCGGUCUGUUAAGUCAGCGGUAAAAGCCCGGGGCCCAACCCCGGCCCGCCGUUGAAACUGGCAGUCUCGAGUUGGAGAGAAGUAUGCGGAAUGCGCGGUGUAGCGGUGAAAUGCAUAGAUAUCGCGCAGAACUCCGAUUGCGAAGGCAGCAUGCCGGCUCCACACUGACGCUGAGGCACGAAAGCGUGGGUAUCGAACAGGAUUAGAUACCCUUGUAGUC
This 459-nucleotide ribosomal RNA is filed under the name uncultured bacterium. RNAcentral's name for it is "partial 16S ribosomal RNA". It matches the Rfam family "Bacterial small subunit ribosomal RNA", at positions 338 to 795 of the family's 1533-position model. The record is from RNAcentral.